GUGCCUAAUACAUGCAAGUCGAGCGAACAGACGAGGAGCUUGCUCCUCUGACGUUAGCGGCGGACGGGUGAGUAACACGUGGGUAACCUACCUAUAAGACUGGGAUAACUCCGGGAAACCGGGGCUAAUACCGGAUAACACAUGAAACCGCAUGGUUUCAUGAUGAAAGACGGUUUUGCUGUCACUUAUAGAUGGACCCGCGGCGUAUUAGCUAGUUGGUAAGGUAACGGCUUACCAAGGCAACGAUACGUAGCCGACCUGAGAGGGUGAUCGGCCACACUGGAACUGAGACACGGUCCAGACUCCUACGGGAGGCAGCAGUAGGGAAUCUUCCGCAAUGGGCGAAAGCCUGACGGAGCAACGCCGCGUGAGUGAUGAAGGUCUUCGGAUCGUAAAACUCUGUUAUUAGGGAAGAACAAGGAUGUAAGUAACUGUGCAUCCCUUGACGGUACCUAAUCAGAAAGCCACGGCUAACUACGUGCCAGCAGCCGCGGUAAUACGUAGGUGGCAAGCGUUAUCCGGAAUUAUUGGGCGUAAAGCGCGCGUAGGCGGUUUUUUAAGUCUGAUGUGAAAGCCCACGGCUCAACCGUGGAGGGUCAUUGGAAACUGGAAAACUUGAGUGCAGAAGAGGAAAGUGGAAUUCCAUGUGUAGCGGUGAAAUGCGUAGAUAUAGGAAGGAACACCAGUGGCGAAGGCGACCACCUGGACUGAUACUGACAC
RNAcentral lists this ribosomal RNA (720 nucleotides) under uncultured Staphylococcus sp. Its description in RNAcentral is "bacterial SSU rRNA". It matches the Rfam family "Bacterial small subunit ribosomal RNA", at positions 44 to 746 of the family's 1533-position model. Lineage: Bacteria; Bacillati; Bacillota; Bacilli; Caryophanales; Staphylococcaceae. The record is from RNAcentral.